Molecule: ribosomal RNA, 253 nt
Filed under: uncultured bacterium
Lineage: Bacteria
Description: partial 16S ribosomal RNA
Rfam family: Bacterial small subunit ribosomal RNA
Source: RNAcentral
UACGUAGGGUGCAAGCGUUGUCCGGAAUUAUUGGGCGUAAAGAGCUCGUAGGCGGUUUGUCGCGUCUGCUGUGAAAACUGGAGGCUCAACCUCCAGCCUGCAGUGGGUACGGGCAGACUAGAGUGCGGUAGGGGAGAUUGGAAUUCCUGGUGUAGCGGUGGAAUGCGCAGAUAUCAGGAGGAACACCGGUGGCGAAGGCGGUUCUCUGGGCCUGUACUGACGCUGAGGAGCGAAAGCGUGGGGAGCGAACAGG